RNAcentral lists this transfer RNA (77 nucleotides) under Brevibacillus brevis. Its description in RNAcentral is "tRNA-Met". It matches the Rfam family "tRNA". Rfam says of the family: Transfer RNA (tRNA) molecules are approximately 80 nucleotides in length. The record is from RNAcentral. Lineage: Bacteria; Bacillati; Bacillota; Bacilli; Caryophanales; Paenibacillaceae. RNAcentral also lists the same sequence under 17 other names.
CGCGGGAUGGAGCAGUUCGGUAGCUCGUCGGGCUCAUAACCCGAAGGUCGCAGGUUCAAAUCCUGCUCCCGCAACCA